UACGUAGGUGGCGAGCGUUGUCCGGAUUUACUGGGCGUAAAGGGAGCGUAGGCGGACUUUUAAGUGAGAUGUGAAAUACUCGGGCUCAACUUGAGUGCUGCAUUUCAAACUGGAAGUCUAGAGUGCAGGAGAGGAGAAUGGAAUUCCUAGUGUAGCGGUGAAAUGCGUAGAGAUUAGGAAGAACACCAGUGGCGAAGGCGAUUCUCUGGACUGUAACUGACGCUGAGGCUCGAAAGCGGGGGGAGCAAACAGG
RNAcentral lists this ribosomal RNA (253 nucleotides) under uncultured bacterium. Its description in RNAcentral is "partial 16S ribosomal RNA". It matches the Rfam family "Bacterial small subunit ribosomal RNA", at positions 524 to 776 of the family's 1533-position model. The record is from RNAcentral.